GGAUAACCUACCCUUAGGACUGGGAUAACCCUGGGAAACUGGGGCUAAUACCGGAUAGGCAAUUUUUCCUGGAAUGGUUUUUUGUUUAAAUGUUUUUUCGCCUAAGGAUGGGUCUGCGGCCGAUUAGGUAGUUGGUUAGGUAAUGGCUUACCAAGCCGUUGAUCGGUACGGGUUGUGAGAGCAAGAGCCCGGAGAUGGAACCUGAGACAAGGUUCCAGGCCCUACGGGGUGCAGCAGGCGCGAAACCUCCGCAAUGUGAGAAAUCGCGACGGGAGGAUCCCAAGUGCCAUUCUUAACGGGAUGGCUUUUCAUUAGUGUAAAGAGCUUUUGGAAUAAGAGCUGGGCAAGACCGGUGCCAGCCGCCGCGGUAACACCGGCAGCUCUAGUGGUAACAAUUUUUAUUGGGCCUAAAGCGUCCGUAGCCGGUUUAAUAAGUCUCUGGUGAAAUCCUG
RNAcentral lists this ribosomal RNA (452 nucleotides) under uncultured archaeon. RNAcentral's name for it is "bacterial SSU rRNA". It matches the Rfam family "Archaeal small subunit ribosomal RNA", at positions 102 to 554 of the family's 1478-position model. The record is from RNAcentral.